This 242-nucleotide ribosomal RNA is filed under the name uncultured Paludibacter sp. Its description in RNAcentral is "partial 16S ribosomal RNA". It matches the Rfam family "Bacterial small subunit ribosomal RNA", at positions 796 to 1041 of the family's 1533-position model. Lineage: Bacteria; Pseudomonadati; Bacteroidota; Bacteroidia; Bacteroidales; Paludibacteraceae. The record is from RNAcentral.
CACGCAGUAAACGAUGAAUACUAGCUGUAUGCGAUAUACUGUAUGUGGCAAAGCGAAAGCGUUAAGUAUUCCACCUGGGGAGUACGUUCGCAAGAAUGAAACUCAAAGGAAUUGACGGGGGCCCGCACAAGCGGAGGAACAUGUGGUUUAAUUCGAUGAUACGCGAGGAACCUUACCCGGGCUUGAAAUGCAUCUGACCGACUUGGAAACAGGUCUUCUAGCAAUAGCAGAUGUGUAGGUGC